CAUAAAUUAGGUAUUCAACUUAAUUUUAAUGCUGACUCUCUACAACUUAUUUUUCCUGCAGCCUUUUCUCUCACUGUUGAUACAGGAAAUGCUCUCCUUGAGGAUGAUUCUGCAACUGAGCUCAAACAGGAAAUUGAGGGCGUCAACCCCAAGUUGUGGGCGGCCCAUAAGGAUGACGCAGGAUUCAUUGAUGUCCAGCCCUAUGUUGCUAAACUAAUAACAGACAAGUCUGUGUAUCAGAAACAGUACCCCCUCUCAAAAGAAAAGGUGGAGGGUAUUCUUCCUGUUAUUGAUAAAUUACUGGCUCAAGGCAUCCUGGUGCACACUCAUUCACCUUAUAAUACACCAAUUAAUCCAAUUAAGAAAGCAAAUGGUUCUUGGCGUUUAACUCAAGAUUUGAGAAAAGUUAAUGAGUUAGUAACACCAUUGUCUCCUAUUGUACCUGAUGUGCAAACUAUAAUUAAUUCUAUUCCUUCUGAACAUUCAUUUUUUACAGUUCUGGAUAUUUCCAGUGCUUUCUUCAGCAUUCCUGUUGAUCGCCAAACACAGCCAUUGUUUGCUUUUACCUUGGAAAAUUCACAAUUAACGUGGACAAGACUCCCACAAGGGUUCAGGGAUUCUCCGGCUGUUUUCUCUGCUGUAGUGCACGCAACGCUGAAAAAUGCCAAACUUCCUCCAAACACCUGUCUGCUUCAAUAUGCAGAUGACAUCCUCAUCCUGCCUCUAAAAUUGUCUGCAAUAUUUUGGCAGAGGCUGGUUUCAAAGCAUCAAGAGAGAAACUACAGUGGGUACAGAGGAGGGUCGAGUACCUUGGACAUGAACUGUCACAGGGCAAAGUGCAAUUAUCUGCUGACAGAGUGAAAGCUAUUGCUACUUUCAAGCACCCAUCGACACGGAAGCAGAUGCAAAGCUUCCUGGGACUGGUUAAUUAUUGCCGAAUAUGGGUGCCCAACUGUUCCAUGUAUGAUAAAAUCCUACGAACUGCUACUCUGGGGGACACAGAGGACAUUACAUGGACAGCUGAGAUGGAUCAAGCAUUCAGACAUUUGAAAUCCUCCCUCAUGAAACCUCCUGCACUCGGCCUCCCAAAUUACUCUCAAGACUUUCACUUAUACGUGCAUGAAAGUGGGGGUACAGCCGCCGCAAUCCUGGCCCAGGAACAUGGGGGUACUUUUCGUCCCAUAGCUUAUUUGUCUAAAACUCUUGAUUCAGUAGCCAGGGGACUUCCUGCUUGUUUGCGUGCAGUGGCUGCCACGGCGAUCAUGGUGCAAGAUGCUGAAAAAAUUGUGUUAUCACAUAAAUUGAUAGUGCAUACUUCUCAUCAGGUUGCUGACGCAAGGUGAAUUUGAGAGUGAUGACCACGAGUGCCUGGACAGAAUCCAGAUUUCGACUGCCUGCAGGCCAGAUGUUUCUGCAUCUGUCCUGGAGGAGGGGAAGAAUUGGUAUAUUGAUGGAUCCUGUUUCAAGCCAAAUGAUAAUGUAUACUUGU
Megalobrama amblycephala (Wuchang bream) is the source of this 1489-nucleotide long non-coding RNA. RefSeq lists it as uncharacterized. The transcript is spliced from 2 exons. Lineage: Eukaryota; Metazoa; Chordata; Actinopteri; Cypriniformes; Xenocyprididae. The record is from RefSeq and is a predicted model, not a curated record.